CAGUGGUAGGCCUGCUGUGGAUCCACAUGGUGUACGUGGCCGUCGAUACCGGCGGCGGUAAGGAUAAGAUGUUCGCCUGAGAUGGCGUCGGUCGACGGACCUGUGACCAGUGUAGGUGUCACACCAUCCAUCACAUCCGGAUUGCCAGCCUUGCCUAUGCCUGCGAUUUUGCCAUCCUUUAUGCCCACGUCGGCCUUGAUUACGCCGAGCAGCGGGUCGAUGAUGGUUACGUUGGUGAUGACAAGGUCGAGCGAACCUUCUGAUGUUGUGUAGCGGUUGGCAAGGCCCAUGCCGUCGCGCAG
This is a small RNA of Parabacteroides sp., 302 nucleotides long. It matches the Rfam family "5' ureB small RNA". The record is from Rfam. NCBI's taxonomy places the organism in Bacteria, Pseudomonadati, Bacteroidota, Bacteroidia, Bacteroidales, Tannerellaceae.